UCACACAGGAAACUUAGAGUUUGAUCCUGGCUCAGGAUGAACGCUGGCGGCGUGCUUAACACAUGCAAGUCGAACGGUGAAAGAGGAGCUUGCUCCUCUGGAUCAGUGGCGAACGGGUGAGUAACACGUGAGAAAUGUGCCCUGGACUCUGGGAUAAGCGUUGGAAACGACGUCUAAUACCGGAUACGCGACGCGAAGGCAUCUUCAGCGUCGGGAAAGAACUUCGGUCCAGGAUCAUCUCGCGGCCUAUCAGCUAGUUGGUGAGGUAACGGCCCACCAAGGCGACGACGGGUAGCCGGCCUGAGAGGGUGACCGGCCACACUGGGACUGAGACACGGCCCAGACUCCUACGGGAGGCAGCAGUGGGGAAUAUUGGACAAUGGGCGGAAGCCUGAUCCAGCAACGCCGCGUGAGGGAUGACGGCCUUCGGGUUGUAAACCUCUUUCAGCACAGACGAAGCGCCUGUGAAGGUGGUGACGGUAUGUGCAGAAGAAGCACCGGCCAACUACGUGCCAGCAGCCGCGGUACGC
This 530-nucleotide ribosomal RNA is filed under the name uncultured bacterium. Its description in RNAcentral is "bacterial SSU rRNA". It matches the Rfam family "Bacterial small subunit ribosomal RNA", at positions 1 to 525 of the family's 1533-position model. The record is from RNAcentral.